UACAGAGGGUGCGAGCGUUAAUCGGAAUUACUGGGCGUAAAGCGCGUGUAGGCGGUUUGAUAAGUUGGAUGUGAAAGCCCCGGGCUUAACCUGGGAACUGCAUUCAAAACUGUCAGGCUAGAGUAGAAUAGAGGGGGGCGGAAUUUCCGGUGUAGCGGUGAAAUGCGUAGAUAUCGGAAGGAACACCAGUGGCGAAAGCGGCCCCCUGGAUUCAUACUGACGCUGAGGCGCGAAAGCGUGGGGAGCAAACAGG
RNAcentral lists this ribosomal RNA (253 nucleotides) under uncultured bacterium. Its description in RNAcentral is "partial 16S ribosomal RNA". It matches the Rfam family "Bacterial small subunit ribosomal RNA", at positions 524 to 776 of the family's 1533-position model. The record is from RNAcentral.